AGUUUGAUCCUGGCUCAGGACGAACGUUGGCGGCGUGCUUAAUACAUGCAAGUCAACUGAAGCACCGGUAGUAAUACUGGUGUGGAGGUGGCGCACGGGUGAGUAACACGUAGGUAAUCUGCCUUCAGGUCUGACAUAACCCCGAGAAAUCGGGGCUAAUAGCAGAUGAUGCAGCGGCUUGACAUCAAGACAGUUGUUAAAGCUUCGGCGCCUGAAGAUGAGCCUGCGUCUGAUUAGCUAGUUGGCGGAGUAACAGCCCACCAAGGCUACGAUCAGUAGCUGGUCUGAGAGGAUGAUCAGCCACACUGGAACUGAGACACGGUCCAGACUCCUACGGGAGGCAGCAGUAAGGAAUAUUGCUCAAUGGGAGAAAUCCUGAAGCAGCAACGCCGCGUGAGGGAUGAAGGGCUUUUGCUUGUAAACCUCUGUAGUGAGAGAAAAAAACUCCAAUCUUUGGAGCAUGAUGGUAUCUCAAAAGUAAGCCCCGGCUAACUACGUGCCAGCAGCCGCGGUAAUACGUAGGGGGCAAACGUUGUCCGGAUUUACUGGGUGUAAAGGGUGCUCAGGCGGUCUUGUAAGUUAGAAGUGAAAUCCUAGGGCUCAACUCUGGAACUGCUUUUAAUACUGCAAGGCUUGAAUAUGGAAGAGGAGGGUGGAAUUUCUGGUGUAGCAGUGAAAUGCGUAGAUAUCAGAAAGAACACCAGUGGCGAAGGCGGCCCUCUGGUCCAUUAUUGACGCUAAAGCACGAAAGCGUGGGGAGCAAACAGGAUUAGAUACCCUGGUAGUCCACGCCUUAAACGAUGAAUACUAGACGUUGGGGUCAAACUCAGUGUCGCAGCUAACGCAUUAAGUAUUCCACCUGGGGAGUACGAUCGCAAGGUUGAAACUCAAAGGAAUUGACGGGGGCCCGCACAAGCAGUGAGCAUGUGGUUCAAUUCGAUGCAACGCGAAGAACCUUACCUAGGCU
This 967-nucleotide ribosomal RNA is filed under the name uncultured bacterium. Its description in RNAcentral is "bacterial SSU rRNA". It matches the Rfam family "Bacterial small subunit ribosomal RNA", at positions 10 to 981 of the family's 1533-position model. The record is from RNAcentral.